This is a long non-coding RNA of Neofelis nebulosa (Clouded leopard), 2488 nucleotides long. RefSeq lists it as uncharacterized. The record is from RefSeq and is a predicted model, not a curated record. Lineage: Eukaryota; Metazoa; Chordata; Mammalia; Carnivora; Felidae. The transcript is spliced from 2 exons.
GAGAUUAAAAAAAAAAAAAACUAAUUUAUAAUCCCCUUGUUCCAUCUUAAACAUCCUGGAAAAUGUGAUAUUUGUUGAGGCCAUAAUUAUUGUUACUUUACAUUUGAAAAAUACUGGGUGGGUUGGUUUUGGGAGAAAACAGCCCACUGCUUUAUGUUUUCUUAAAUAAGUUGUCUUCGGAAAAUGUCUACUUAGGGGCUCCUUGGUGUCUCAUUUGGUUAAGCGUCUGACUGUUGGUUUUGGCUCCGGUUCAUUAGAUCGAGCCCACAUUGGAGCCUGUUUGGGAGUCUCUCUCUACCUCUUUCUGGCCCUGCCCUGCUCUGCUCAUUCUCUCUCAAAAUUAAAAAAAAAAAAAAAAAGAUGCCUACUUAGUGUUUUGUAAAAACAUUUUCCAUUUCCUCCCCCCACCCCCAACAUAUUCUGAAGUGAUUUGUUUUCUAGGGGAAUUAUAGAGUUAUUUAAAAAAUUUUAAGCUUAAAACAAUGUUAAAAUUAAAAAAUUAAGCUUAGUGAUCCCAAUAUGAAGUCUUAUUACUAGUUUCAGCCCUAUUGAACAAAUACAUUAAAAUAGUUGAUUGUUGGGGCAUCUGGGUGGCUCAGUCGGUUAAGAGUCCCAGUUAGGCUCAGGUCAUGAUCUUGUGGUAGGUCAGUUCAAGCCCCAUGUUGGGCUCUGUGCUGACAGCUCAGAGCCUGGAGCCUGCUUCAGAUUCUGUGUCUCCCUCUCUCUCUGCCUCUUCCCCACUCAUGCUGUCUCUCUCUCUCAAAAAUAGACAUUAAAAAAUUUUUUUUAAAAAAUAGUUGAUUGUUGAAAUAUAAACCUCCUUGGGACCCUGGAAGAGAUCUAGAAAGAUUUUCUUCUGGAUUGGGUUAUCGUAGAAAUGUGAGUGUUCCCUGGAAAUGAUGAUAAUAGUGGAUAUUGUAUUCUUCUACACAGUUGUAUUUAUUGUUACUUGUGAAAUGUUUAUAUUAUAUUUAGUUAUUUAAUAUACAUUGUGUAAUAACUAUUCUUUUACUUAUUGCAUUAACAGUUGUUGGUAGUUUUGGUCUCUACUUCUUUUGAUCAGCUGUGUAGGGAGGGGCUCUGUGAGUAAGAGUUUAUACCCAAGUGACUAUUAUAAUGCAAAAGAAGCUUGCCUGGUUCCUUGUUGGUAUUGUAUGAACCUGGUUAAGUUGGGCAGACCUAGAAGUUCUGACUAAGGGGCAGGAAAGUGAGGAUCAAUGUAAACAGCAAAAGAGCUUUACAUAAAAUUGAGAAGGAGGCUUGACAUCGAAAUUUGAGACUCUAUGUGAUGUUAUUAAAGUACUAAUUUCUUUUUUUAAUUAAAAAUUUUUAUUGAGAUAUAAUUAACAUUAUUUUCAGGUAUACAACAUAUGAUAUUUUUCAUUAUUUUCAGGUAUACAGCAUAAUAUGAUAUUUUUAUGUAUUGUGAAAUGAUCACCACAAUAUGGUGAUAUCCAUCACCGUACAUAGUUACAAUUUUUUUCUUUUGAUGAACUUUUAAUAUUUACUCUCUUAGCAACUUUCAAAUAUAUGACAGUAUUAUUGUAGUCAUCAUGCUGUACAUUACAUCCUUAUGGCUUACUUAUUUUAUAACUGGAAGUUUAUACCUUUUGACUACCUUUACCCAUUUCCUCUGCCUCCACUCUCUGCCUCUGGCAACCACCACUCUGUUCUGGUUUUUAUUUUGUUUUUUUUAGAUUCCACUUUUUCUUCAAUUGAGGAUGAAGUAAUUUUUUUUAAUUUUAUUUAUUUUGAGAGAGAGUGUGCACACAGGUGCAUGCGGUGGGAGGGGCAGAGAGAGAGGGAGAGACAGAGUCCCAGGGCUCCAUGCAGGGCUUGAUCUCACAAAUUGAGAUCUUGACCUGAGCUGAAACCAACAGUCGGAUGUUCAACCCACUGAGCCACCCAGGUGCUCUGAAAACAAAGUAAUUCUUAAAAAUUGUGUAAAGAAUAGUGAAAUCUACUCUUUUUGUACAUGAACCAAACAACAUAGAAGCACAUAGAACAAAAACUGUUUCCUUCAUUCUCUUCCUUGUCUAUUCCUUGUCAUUGUUCUAGCUCUUUUCUGUUUUUUUUUCUUUUACUGUAUAUAGAAUUAUGCUAUAAGCGCCCCUCUGUGACUUUGUUUUAAAAGAUUGGUGAUAUGGUUUGGAGAUCUUUCCAUUUACAUAGAGAUCUUUAUCACAUUUUUAAUGGCUCUAUAAAGUUUCAUAGUAUAUGUAUACCAUAACUUAAUUAACUGUCCUCCUCUUAGUGUACCCUUAGGUUGCUUCCAAUUUUUUACUAUUAAUAUUGUGUUGCAGCUCCUGGGUGGCUCAGGUGGUUAAGCUUAUGACUUUUGAUUUUGGCUCAGGUCUCACAGAUCUCACAGUUAAUGGGUUUGAGCCCCAUGUUGGGCUUUGCACUGACAUCGUGGAGCCUGCUUGGGACUCUCUCUCCUUCCCUCUCUUUCUGACCCUUCCCCACUUGUAUGUUCUCUCUCUCUCUC